AAUAGCGUAUAUUAAGUUGCUGCAGUUAAAAAGCUCGUAGUUGGAUUUCUGACUUGAAACAUUUAGCCGGCCACGGUUUCGUGUGUUAGUGCUUGAUGUUCUGGCCAUCCUUCCAAUUGCUAUUCAUCUUUCUUCAUUGAUGGGUGAGUGGUAUUGGAUCUUUUACUUUGAAAAAAUUAGAGUGUUUCAAGCAGGCUUAAUGCUAUGAAUACAUUAGCAUGGAAUAAUAAUUUAGGACUUCGGUUCUAUUUUGUUGGUUUCUAGGACUGAAGUAAUGAUUGAUAGGGAUAGUUGGGGGUGCUAGUAUUCAGCGGCCAGAGGUGAAAUUCUCGGAUUUGCUGAAGACUAACUUAUGCGAAAGCAUUCACCAAGGAUGUCUUCUUUAAUCAAGAACGAAAGUUGGGGGAUCGAAGACGAUCAGAUACCGUCGUAGUCUCAACCAUAAACUAUGCCGACUAGGGAUGAGUGAACGUUGCAUUUUCGACUUCAUUCGCACCUUAUGAGAAAUCAAAGUCUUUGGGUUCCGGGGGGAGUAUGGUCGCAAGGCUGAAACUUAAAGGAAUUGACGGAAGGGCACCACCAGGAGUGGAGCCUGCGGCUUAAUUUGACUCAACACGGGAAAACUUACCAGGUCCAGACACAGUAAGGAUUGACAGAUUGAAGAUCUUUCUUGAU
This 675-nucleotide precursor RNA is filed under the name uncultured Cercozoa. Its description in RNAcentral is "partial 18S ribosomal RNA". It matches the Rfam family "Eukaryotic small subunit ribosomal RNA", at positions 593 to 1266 of the family's 1831-position model. The record is from RNAcentral. Lineage: Eukaryota; Cercozoa.